CCUACGGGUGGCAGCAGUGGGGAAUAUUGCACAAUGGGGGAAACCCUGAUGCAGCGACGCCGCGUGAGUGAAGAAGUAAUUCGUUAUGUAAAGCCCUAUCAGCAGGGAAGAAAAUGCCGGUACCUGAGCAAGAAGCCCCGGCUGACUACGUGCCAGCAGCCGCGGUAACACGUAGGGGGCAAGCGUUAUCCGGAUUUGCUGGGUGUAAAGGGAGCGUAGACGGCAGUGCAAGUCUGGAGUGAAAGGCGGGGGCUCAACCCCCGGACUGCUCUGGAAACUGUGCGGCUAGAGUGCAGGAGAGGUAAGCGGAAUUCCUAGUGUAGCGGUGAAAUGCGUAGAUAUUAGGAGGAACACCAGUGGCGAAGGCGGCUUACUGGACUGUAACUGACGUUGAGGCUCGAAGGCGUGGGGAGCAAACAGGAUUAGAUACCCGAGUAGUC
Molecule: ribosomal RNA, 440 nt
Filed under: uncultured bacterium
Lineage: Bacteria
Description: partial 16S ribosomal RNA
Rfam family: Bacterial small subunit ribosomal RNA
Source: RNAcentral